Molecule: ribosomal RNA, 478 nt
Filed under: uncultured bacterium
Lineage: Bacteria
Description: partial 16S ribosomal RNA
Rfam family: Bacterial small subunit ribosomal RNA
Source: RNAcentral
GAUUAACGCUGGCGGCGUGCAUAACACAUGCAAGUCGAACGAUGAAACUCAUUAGAUUUCUUCGGAAUGAAACUGAAUGGAUUAGUGGCGAACGGGUGAGUAACGCGUGAGUAACCUGCCUUACACAAGGGGAUAGCCUCUGGAAACGGAGAAUAAUACCCUAUGAAACCAGACAAUCGCAUGAUAAUCUGGUCAAAAUGUUUAGUGGUGUAAGAUGGACUUGCGUCUGAUUAGCUAGUUGGUGAGAUAAAAGCUCACCAAGGCAACGAUCAGUAGCCGGCUUGGGAGAGUGUACGGCCCCAUUGGGACUGGGACACGGCCCAGACGCCGACGGGAGGCGGCGGUGAGGAAUUUUGCACAAUGGGGGAAACCCUGAUGCAGCGACGCCGCGUGAUUGAGAAGGCCUUCGGGUUGUAAAAAUCUUUUGUAUAGGAAGAAAAUGACAGUACUAUACGAAUAAGGUCCGGCUAAUUACGUG